GUAAUUCUGGGUUUUGCCAUUGAAAGUAAUGGCAAAAACCACAGUUACUUUUGCACCAACCUAAUA
Molecule: microRNA precursor, 66 nt
Organism: Cercocebus atys (sooty mangabey)
Lineage: Eukaryota; Metazoa; Chordata; Mammalia; Primates; Cercopithecidae
Source: Ensembl